Molecule: non-coding RNA, 488 nt
Organism: Peromyscus maniculatus bairdii (prairie deer mouse)
Lineage: Eukaryota; Metazoa; Chordata; Mammalia; Rodentia; Cricetidae
Source: RefSeq, a predicted model, not a curated record
CUUUAAUCUUAGCUGAAAGGCACUUGGAGGCCACAAUGUCAGCAGCUGUUGCCUCCAGGAUGAACUGUUAUUGGGGAUAAAGCAUUCGUAGGUAGUAGAUACCUUUAAUGUGACUUUUGGAGAUUCAUCCCUGGCCCAUAAAAAGAAGUCAAAGCAUUUCUCUCCACUAUUUUAAUCCUGGGCACACUAAAUGGAGACACCCUGAGUGAACUUGGAAGCAUUCUUGAAAAACAACAGUGUCUCCACCACAUCAAGGCUGAAGAUGAAUGGAGUUUCAGGGGUAUAGUCCGUGAACUGGAAAAAUGUGACAACAGAUGCAGGAGAUAGGAACUCAUAUGCUCUCCAUAGUCAAAACUGAGAGAGUUUGUGCUCUCAGCUGCUGCUUCAGCUCCAGCUCCCAUGUCUUCCUGCCACCUGCUACCUCCACUCUGCCAUCAUGGACUCUAACCCUCUAGAACCAUAACUCCAAUAUAAACCCUUCUACAAGC